Molecule: ribosomal RNA, 301 nt
Filed under: uncultured bacterium
Lineage: Bacteria
Description: partial 16S ribosomal RNA
Rfam family: Bacterial small subunit ribosomal RNA
Source: RNAcentral
CAGUCGCCGCGGUAAUACGAAGGGUGCAAGCGUUACUCGGAAUUACUGGGCGUAAAGCGUGUGUAGGUGGUUGUUUAAGUCUGUCGUGAAAGCCCUGGGCUCAACCUGGGAAUUGCGAUGGAUACUGGGCGACUAGAGUGCGGUAGAGGAUAGUGGAAUUUCCGGUGUAGCAGUGAAAUGCGUAGAGAUCGGAAGGAACAUCUGUGGCGAAGGCGACUAUCUGGGCCGACACUGACGCUCAUGCACGAAAGCGUGGGGAGCAAACAGGAUUAGAUACCCCAGUAGUCCCUGUCUCUUAUAC